GCCCAGAUGGCGAAAUUGGUAGACGCACCACUUUGAGGGGGUGGCGCCGGUUACGGUGUGCAAGUUCGACUCUUGUUCUGGGCA
This 84-nucleotide transfer RNA is filed under the name Prevotellaceae bacterium. RNAcentral describes it as "tRNA-Leu". It matches the Rfam family "tRNA". From Rfam's summary of the family: Transfer RNA (tRNA) molecules are approximately 80 nucleotides in length. The record is from RNAcentral. Lineage: Bacteria; Pseudomonadati; Bacteroidota; Bacteroidia; Bacteroidales; Prevotellaceae.